Molecule: unclassified non-coding RNA, 602 nt
Filed under: Zea mays
Lineage: Eukaryota; Viridiplantae; Streptophyta; Magnoliopsida; Poales; Poaceae
Description: misc RNA Zm00001eb436320
Source: RNAcentral
GCUUCUCCUUGUUCCUGUUCCUAACUCCUCCCCGGGUAGUUCCCAAUGUUUGGCACUUUCCAUACUUCGUGGGUGCAACAUCAACAAAUUCGCUCAUGAUCAAGUUACAACCUAAGAUCUAUGACUAUAUUAUGUUAACUGUUCGUAUUUUGUUCAUUCCAUCGGUAUGCUCCCAGGUACCUGUAAUUGUGAUCUGUUUGCCAGAACCAAGGGGUCUUUCUGUGGAAACCUUCACGAGCAAUCGUCGUUUUUUGAUGGUUUUUCCGCUUAUCACAGCAGCUCUUUCCACACCUCCGGAUAUCUGGUGCCAAAUCGUCGCCCCUUUCCUUAUAUAUUCGAUAAUCGAGUUUGCUAUCUUUGUGGCAUUGAUUGUACAAGUUCGUGAAGAGGGCUGGACGAGUAGAAUGAGGGAAAGCGGCUCGAUCGAGAAAAAAGAGGAGUAGACCAGCCCCCCUAGAACUGAAAAAAGUCACUAUCAAUGAAUUCCCGAGCAAUUCUAAACCAACAUAUGCGAUUCAUUCCCGUAAUGAUUAUAACAAACAAACAGCAGACUCCUUGCCUUAUUUUCGGGAUGAGUGAUACAUCCGGCGAGCGCCGGUGAA